This 474-nucleotide ribosomal RNA is filed under the name uncultured Acholeplasma sp. Its description in RNAcentral is "bacterial SSU rRNA". It matches the Rfam family "Bacterial small subunit ribosomal RNA", at positions 903 to 1382 of the family's 1533-position model. Lineage: Bacteria; Bacillati; Mycoplasmatota; Mollicutes; Acholeplasmatales; Acholeplasmataceae. The record is from RNAcentral.
AAAGGAAUUGACGGGACCCCGCACAAGCGGUGGAUCAUGUUGUUUAAUUCGAUGAUACGCGAAGAACCUUACCAGGUCUUGACAUCCCCCGCGAUGCUUUAGAGAUAAAGCGGAGGUAUUCGGGGAGACAGGUGGUGCAUGGUUGUCGUCAGCUCGUGUCGUGAGAUGUUGGGUUAAGUCCCGCAACGAGCGCAACCCCUAUUGCUAGUUACCAUCAUUAAGUUGGGGACUCUAGCGAGACUGCCAGUAAUAAACUGGAGGAAGGUGGGGAUGACGUCAAAUCAUCAUGCCCCUUAUGACCUGGGCUACAAACGUGAUACAAUGGCUGGAACAAAGGGAUGCGAAGCAGUGAUGUGGAGCGAAACCCAUAAAAACAGUCUCAGUUCGGAUUGAAGUCUGCAACUCGACUUCAUGAAGUCGGAAUCGCUAGUAAUCGCGGAUCAGAACGCCGCGGUGAAUACGUUCUCGGGGUUU